UUGAAACCCCAGUUCUCAUAUGAUCACUGAAGUUAAGCAAUGCUGAGCAUGAUCAGUACUUAGAUGGGUGACCACUUUGGAAUAUUAGGUGCU
This is a non-coding RNA of Acanthosepion pharaonis, 93 nucleotides long. The record is from the annotation of a GenBank genome assembly. Lineage: Eukaryota; Metazoa; Mollusca; Cephalopoda; Sepiida; Sepiidae.